GAUGAACGCUAGCGGCAGGCCUAAUACAUGCAAGUCGAACGGGAUCCAGAUCAAAGCUUGCUUUGGUCUGGUGAGAGUGGCGCACGGGUGCGUAACGCGUGAGCAACCUACCCUUGUCAGGGGGAUAGCCCGGCGAAAGUCGGAUUAAUACCGCAUGACAUCAUUGAGAGGCAUCUUUCGAUGAUCAAAGAUUUAUCGGACAAGGAUGGGCUCGCGUGACAUUAGCUAGUUGGUAAGGUAACGGCUUACCAAGGCUGCGAUGUCUAGGGGCUCUGAGAGGAGAAUCCCCCACACUGGUACUAAGACACGGACCAGACUCCUACGGGAGGCAGCAGUAAGGAAUAUUGGUCAAUGGACGGAAGUCUGAACCAGCCAUGCCGCGUGCAGGAAGACGGCCCUAUGGGUUGUAAACUGCUUUUAUACGGGAACAAACGUCGGUACGUGUACCGGUCUGAGUGUACCGUAAGAAUAAGGAUCGGCUAACUCCGUG
Molecule: ribosomal RNA, 490 nt
Filed under: uncultured bacterium
Lineage: Bacteria
Description: partial 16S ribosomal RNA
Rfam family: Bacterial small subunit ribosomal RNA
Source: RNAcentral